UGUCUUCCUCGUCUCACCUCUGGAACAGCAUCUUAGGUUUCAACCCUUGAGUUAUAACCGUGUCAGUACAUGCUCCAGGCUACUCUGAAUGCAGCAGGAAAAUGAUUGAUAUGGGACCAGUUCUCUUCAGGAUUGUAAGGCCUCUCUGAGAGUUAUAAUGAGUUAUCAAGGGAAGCCCAUGAAUGAUGAGACCAUGGACCCUAAGAGUGUCCAUACUGAGAAAAAAAGUCACCAACCCCCAGUUGUGAUUCACUGAAGAGCAACCAAUCGAUGGGGUUACCUAUUUCUUUAAAGGAGGGAAUCUCUACUCAAGAUGAACGAUGCAGCUAUCUGGAGCGAACAUCAUCAUUUGGGAGUAAUCUAAAUUUUUCAUGUGAGAGUGACCAAUCAUUGCAUUUCACCUAUUUUAUCAAGGAGGGAGACUAUGAACCAAGGUGAGAUUUUAUUAUUCCAUACAUAAUUCUAAAUAGCAGUUUGUGUCAUUACGAUUAAGUGCUGGCAGAGGGCACACUGACACGUUUCAUUUGAACAGUGCUUGGGUUAUUAAGUUCAGUCGCCUAUUAUCAACGCAGAAUCAAUCUCUGGUAAGAAAUGCUUUCCUCUCCAUCUUUAAAUAAGCAUGCCCCAUUCAAAAAUGUAGAACUAAGAACAGAUUUAGCCCUUGGUUCAC
This is a long non-coding RNA of Oncorhynchus tshawytscha (Chinook salmon), 670 nucleotides long. RefSeq lists it as uncharacterized. Lineage: Eukaryota; Metazoa; Chordata; Actinopteri; Salmoniformes; Salmonidae. The transcript is spliced from 4 exons. The record is from RefSeq and is a predicted model, not a curated record.